This 443-nucleotide ribosomal RNA is filed under the name uncultured prokaryote. Its description in RNAcentral is "bacterial SSU rRNA". It matches the Rfam family "Bacterial small subunit ribosomal RNA", at positions 355 to 796 of the family's 1533-position model. The record is from RNAcentral.
UAGGGAAUAUUGGUCAAUGGGCGAGAGCCUGAACCAGCCAUGCCGCGUGCAGGAAGACGGCCUUCUGGGUUGUAAACUGCUUUUAUACAGGACUAAAAUGGUCCUGCGGGACAGAUUGCAUGUACUGUAUGGAUAAACACCGGCUAACUCCGUGCCAGCAGCCGCGGUAAUACGGAGGGUGCAAGCGUUGUCCGGAUUUAUUGGGUUUAAAGGGUGCGUAGGCGGGUAUUUAAGUCAGUGGUGAAAUCCCUGAGCUCAACUGAGGAACUGCCAUUGAUACUGGAUAUCUUGAUUACCGUACAGGUAGGCGGAAUUUAUGGUGUAGCGGUGAAAUGCAUAGAUACCAUAAAGAACACCGAUAGCGUAGGCAGCUUACUGGAGGGUAAAUGACGCUGAUGCACGAAAGCGUGGGUAGCGAACGGGAUUAGAUACCCCCGUAGUCC